CGGAUGUUUCGCAGAAGUUGACCGAACUUGAUUAUUUAGAGGAAGUAAAAGUCGUAACAAGGUUUCCGUAGGUGAACCUGCGGAAGGAUCANUAAAGUUCUCCUUUCAAGUUAUAAACAAAAACACAAUAUAUAAAAUACUUAUAUUGUAAAAUUAUGGCAAAUGCCAAAAAGAAACAAAAUAACAAUAAUAAAAAUGUUUAUUAUUGUAUCGCCUCCUAGGCAAAAAAGUAUAGUAUAAAGUGUUUGUGUGUGUUACACAUUACACAAAAAUUGACUUAUUUAUAUAAAAUUUGUAAAAACUGAAAUUGUGUGGACGUUAUACAAAAUUAAUUUGUAUAGAAAAUGUCUAAAAAUUUGAAAUACAUAAAAUUAUAGUUGUACUUGUAUAAAAUUGAAAAGUAAUUUUUUAUAUAAGUCAAUCAUUGUUCGUUUUUUAAGAACUUGAGACAUUCGCAACAAAAAUUUUAUGUUUUAGUUAUAAAAGAGAAGAAUAAUAAGCAAAAAUUAUUGAAGGAAUUGAUAUAUGCCAAUUUGAAACUUUUUGGUGUAUUUUUGAUUUCU
Molecule: ribosomal RNA, 563 nt
Filed under: Belvosia sp. Woodley04A
Lineage: Eukaryota; Metazoa; Arthropoda; Insecta; Diptera; Tachinidae
Description: partial ribosomal RNA
Rfam family: Eukaryotic small subunit ribosomal RNA (bases 1-94)
Source: RNAcentral